This 490-nucleotide ribosomal RNA is filed under the name uncultured bacterium. RNAcentral's name for it is "partial 16S ribosomal RNA". It matches the Rfam family "Bacterial small subunit ribosomal RNA", at positions 30 to 507 of the family's 1533-position model. The record is from RNAcentral.
AUUGAACGCUGGCGGCAGGCCUAACACAUGCAAGUCGAACGGUAACAGGAAGAAGCUUGCUUCUUUGCUGACGAGUGGCGGACGGGUGAGUAAUGUCUGGGAAACUGCCUGAUGGAGGGGGAUAACUACUGGAAACGGUAGCUAAUACCGCAUAACGUCGCAAGACCAAAGAGGGGGACCUUCGGGCCUCUUGCCAUCGGAUGUGCCCAGAUGGGAUUAGCUAGUAGGUGGGGUAACGGCUCACCUAGGCGACGAUCCCUAGCUGGUCUGAGAGGAUGACCAGCCACACUGGAACUGAGACACGGUCCAGACUCCUACGGGAGGCAGCAGUGGGGAAUAUUGCACAAUGGGCGCAAGCCUGAUGCAGCCAUGCCGCGUGUAUGAAGAAGGCCUUCGGGUUGUAAAGUACUUUCAGCGGGGAGGAAGGGAGCAAAGUUAAUACCUUUACUCAUUGACGUUACCCGCAGAAGAAGCACCGGCUAACUCCGUG